CCUACGGGAGGCAGCAGUGGGGAAUAUUGCACAAUGGGGGAAACCCUGAUGCAGCGACGCCGCGUGAGUGAAGAAGUAUUUCGGUAUGUAAAGCUCUAUCAGCAGGGAAGAAAAUGACGUUACCUGAUUAAGAAGCCCCGGCUAACUACGUGCCAGCAGCCGCGGUAAUACGUAGGGGGCAAGCGUUAUCCGGAUUUACUGGGUGUAAAGGGGGCGUAGACGGCAGCACAAGGCUGGAGUGAAAUGCCGGGGCUUAACCCCGGAACUGCUUUGGAAACUGUGCAGCUAGAGUGCAGGAGAGGUAAGUGGAAUGCGUGGUGUAGCGGUGAAAUGCGUAGAUAUUAGGAGGAACACCAGUGGCGAAGGCAGCUUACUGGACUGUAACUGACGUUGAGGCUCGAAAGCGUGGGGAGCAAACAGGAUUAGAUACCCCAGUAGUC
This 440-nucleotide ribosomal RNA is filed under the name uncultured bacterium. RNAcentral's name for it is "partial 16S ribosomal RNA". It matches the Rfam family "Bacterial small subunit ribosomal RNA", at positions 338 to 795 of the family's 1533-position model. The record is from RNAcentral.